AAUGAACGUUGGCGGCGUGGAUUAGGCAUGCAAGUCGAGCGGGUAUAGCAAUAUAUCAGCGGCGAAAGGGAGAGUAAUACGUAGCUACGUGCCCCAGAGACCGGAAUAGCCAGCCGAAAGGCUGGGUAAUGCCGUAUGACGUCCCCGGACUAAAGGGUGUGAUUCCGCUUUGGGAGCGGGCUGCGUUGUACUAGCUAGUUGGUAGGGUAAUGGCCUACCAAGGCUUUGAUGCAUACCGGGCGUGAGAGCGUGGCCCGGCUCACUGGGACUGAGACACUGCCCAGACACCUACGGGUGGCAG
Molecule: ribosomal RNA, 301 nt
Filed under: uncultured Planctomycetota bacterium
Lineage: Bacteria; Pseudomonadati; Planctomycetota
Description: bacterial SSU rRNA
Rfam family: Bacterial small subunit ribosomal RNA
Source: RNAcentral